This 1298-nucleotide ribosomal RNA is filed under the name Meloidogyne floridensis. Its description in RNAcentral is "SSU rRNA". It matches the Rfam family "Eukaryotic small subunit ribosomal RNA", at positions 1 to 1315 of the family's 1831-position model. Lineage: Eukaryota; Metazoa; Nematoda; Chromadorea; Rhabditida; Meloidogynidae. The record is from RNAcentral.
UCUGGUUGAUCCUGCCUGAACUGAUGUGUUCAUUUCAAAGAUUAAGCCAUGCAUGUAUAAGUUUAAUCGUUUUAACGAGAAACCGCGAACGGCUCAUUACAAUGGCCAUGAUUUACUUGAUCUUGAUUAUCUAAAUGGAUAACUGUGGAAAAGCUAGAGCUAAUACAUGCACCAAAGCUUUGUCCUCUUGGAAAAGCGCAUUUAUUAGAACAAAACCACGCGGCUAUGGCUGCUUCUUGUUGACUCAGAAUAACUAAGCUGACCGCAUGGCCUUGUGCCGGCGGCGUGUCUUUCAAGCGUCCACUUUAUCAACUUGACGGGAGCAUAAUCGACUCCCGUGGUGGUGACGGAUAACGGAGGAUCAGGGUUCGACUCCGGAGAAGGGGCCUGAGAAAUGGCCACUACGUCUAAGGAUGGCAGCAGGCGCGCAAAUUACCCACUCUCGGCUUGAGGAGGUAGUGACGAGAAAUAACGAGAUCGUUCUCUUUGAGGCCGGUCAUCGGAAUGGGUACAAUUUAAACCCUUUAACGAGUAUCAAGCAGAGGGCAAGUCUGGUGCCAGCAGCCGCGGUAAUUCCAGCUCUGCUAAUACAUAGAAUUAUUGCUGCGGUUAAAAAGCUCGUAGUUGGAUUCGUAUCGGUACCCUGGAACCCUGCGGGUGUUUCUGGGUGUUAUCGAUUUAUCGUAAUGUUCGGUUUUGAGUCCUUAACAGGAUUCUUAACAGGCAUUGCAAGUUUACUUUGAACAAAUCAGAGUGCUUCAAACAGGCGUUUUUGCUUGAAUGAUCGUGCAUGGAAUAAUAGAAAACGAUUUCGGUUCAGUUUUAUUGGUUUUACGGACUGAGAUAAUGGUUAACAGAGACAAACGGGGGCAUUUGUAUGGCCCCGUGAGAGGUGAAAUUCUUGGACCGUGGCCAGACAAACUACAGCGAAAGCAUUUGCCAAGAAUGUCUUCAUUAAUCAAGAACGAAAGUCAGAGGUUCGAAGGCGAUCAGAUACCGCCCUAGUUCUGACCGUAAACGAUGCCAACUAGCGAUCCGCCGAUGGAAAUUAUAUUGCCUUGGUGGGGAGCUUCCCGGAAACGAAAGUCUUCCGGUUCCGGGGGAAGUAUGGUUGCAAAGCUGAAACUUAAAGGAAUUGACGGAAGGGCACCACCAGGAGUGGAGCAUGCGGCUUAAUUUGACUCAACACGGGGAAACUCACCCGGCCCGGACACUGUGAGGAUUGACAGAUUGAUAGCUUUUUCAUGAUUCAGUGGAUGGUGGUGCAUGGCCGUUCUUAGUUCGUGGAGUGAUUUGUC